This 328-nucleotide ribosomal RNA is filed under the name uncultured Glomeromycotina. RNAcentral's name for it is "eukaryotic LSU rRNA". Lineage: Eukaryota; Fungi; Glomeromycota. The record is from RNAcentral.
CAGUCGUACCGACGGGAAAUCAACCUUUUGGGCGUGAUCUUGUGGAUGCUUGGGAGCUUAACGGCCUCUGUGUUUUCAAGUUUGUGCUCUUGGGCGUAUUUUUCCGUAUGGUAAGUUAACAUCAAUUUCGGUCGUUAUAAAAUGAUCGGAGGAAAGUAGCUUCGAUUUAUCGAAGUGUUAUAGACUCUGGUAAAUGUAACGAUCGGGAUUGAGGAUUGCAACGAAUACCCGUCAGGGCUAUCCGUCUGGCCUCUGAUCGUUGCCUUGGUGCCGAAAGCUUGCUUACGGUUAUUGAGGUUGAUGGUCAAAAGGUUAGAAAGUGAUUAAA